Molecule: long non-coding RNA, 167 nt
Organism: Amphimedon queenslandica
Lineage: Eukaryota; Metazoa; Porifera; Demospongiae; Haplosclerida; Niphatidae
Exons: 3
Source: RefSeq, a predicted model, not a curated record
AGGUUAUUUCUUAUAUUAUACUUGAAGAAGCUGAAUAUAAACUAAGAGAUACUAUCAGUAGCGAAGAGAAGGAAACAAUUGAAUUGAAACAAGAACUAUCAAUGAUGAAAGUACUAGAGGAAGAAUCAUUGUCUGUUCAAAGUGAUACUGAAUCAAUUAAAGAAGUU